This 65-nucleotide transfer RNA is filed under the name Onryza maga. RNAcentral describes it as "tRNA-Thr". It matches the Rfam family "tRNA". From Rfam's summary of the family: Transfer RNA (tRNA) molecules are approximately 80 nucleotides in length. Their secondary structure includes four short double-helical elements and three loops (D, anti-codon, and T loops). Lineage: Eukaryota; Metazoa; Arthropoda; Insecta; Lepidoptera; Hesperiidae. The record is from RNAcentral.
GUUUUUAUAGUUUAAUCAAAACAUUGGUCUUGUAAAUCAAAAAAAAAUAAUUUAUUUUAAAAACU